RNAcentral lists this unclassified non-coding RNA (329 nucleotides) under soil metagenome. RNAcentral's name for it is "partial contains 5.8S ribosomal RNA, internal transcribed spacer 2, and large subunit ribosomal RNA". The stretch from base 1 to 120 matches the Rfam family "5.8S ribosomal RNA", at positions 35 to 154 of the family's 154-position model. The record is from RNAcentral.
GAUGAAGAAUGUAGCGAAAUGCGAUAAGUAAUGUGAAUUGCAGAAUUCAGUGAAUCAUCGAAUCUUUGAACGCACAUUGCGCCCCCUGGUAUUCCGGGGGGCAUGCCUGUCCGAGCGUCAUUACAACCCUCAAGCUCAGCUUGGUGUUGGGCCCCGCCGCCCCGGCGGGCCCUAAAGUCAGUGGCGGUGCCGUCCGGCUCCGAGCGUAGUAAUUCUUCUCGCUCUGGAGGCCCGGUCGUGUGCUCGCCAGCAACCCCCAAUUUUUUUCAGGUUGACCUCGGAUCAGGUAGGGAUACCCGCUGAACUUAAGCAUAUCAAUAAGCGGAGGA